CGUACCCAUCCCGAACACGACCGUUAAGCCCUCUAGCGCCGAUGGUACUUGGACCGCAGGGUCCUGGGAGAGUAGGACGCCGCCAAGC
This 88-nucleotide ribosomal RNA is filed under the name Paenibacillus amylolyticus. The record is from RNAcentral. Lineage: Bacteria; Bacillati; Bacillota; Bacilli; Caryophanales; Paenibacillaceae. RNAcentral also lists the same sequence under 1 other name.